CUUCGCCGUCGUCUAUAACGUGUGUUCCUUGGAAAGUUAUGUACUUGAGAAUCUCCAGAAGUAUGGAGCUCUUCAGAAGUGAAAAUGCAGAAAUUCAUCGUUCCUUUGGUGCAUCCAAACCAGGAUAGCAGCAUGCAUAUAGCCAUACCAUGGUUAGAAUUGGAUGGUGUUGGUCUGAUCUGUGAUAAUGGAUCUUACUCUGGACAGAAACGGUGGCAGAGGUCUUCAAGGAUCAUAUGGUACUUUCCUAUACCUUGAUGCUGCAGAAGGUAAUAGUUGUCGAUCAUGACUUGGUUGAGCAGAGGCCUGUUAUGGUCAAGAAGUUGCUGUAAAUUGCUUCAGGAACAAGAAAAAUGGGAAAAAUAUGGAUUGCAGCUUUCAAAAGUGAAUUCUUUGAUUUCAAUGAAAUAUCUGAUAUUUCUUUGUGCUGAAGAUUUCCUUCUUCAGGACUGAAUGCUACAAGAAAUGAGCUGCAGACAGCUUCUUGAUAAGAUAGGUCUGUCCAUAUGGACAUGGUUGUGUACAGUAGCAGCUUCCCUAUGAGUAGCUGGGAUUGGGGCUGUAUUCAUGUUGAGUUGUGCAGGGUUUCAGCUGUGAUGGAUUCAAGUGCUGGACCUUGCAAAAGAAACUGUUUGAUGCAGUGAUGAAACUGCAGAACUAUUGCUAGCAUCCAGGAAGGUAAAUGGCAAUUAAGAGUACCCUCUUACCAAAGGGAGCUGGUUUCAUUGUUGGUUUAGGUGGUGGAUAUGGCAGAACCUCAUGUUGACAGACAAGUUGCCCGUUGUUGAUCCUGCUUUUACAUUGUUGAAGUUCUCAAGAUUGAGUCAGUUGAACAGAGGCAUUUUAUGGUCUCGUGGAAGUUGCAGGAAAUUAAGGUCAUGUCAAGAUUGGAAAGCACAGGUUCAAGGGUUCCAGUGGUGAGGGAUUAGUGUUCUUCCUUGAAACUACCUGAUGCAGCAAAACUUGAACAUCCAGGAAUGUGGAAGGCCUUUAGGGACCUGAACAUAGAACCCAUGCUGAGGGGAGACCUUCUUUACUGGUGAAUGUAGUGGAUAUAAGGCCGGCAGUUC
Molecule: long non-coding RNA, 1070 nt
Filed under: Penaeus monodon (black tiger shrimp)
Lineage: Eukaryota; Metazoa; Arthropoda; Malacostraca; Decapoda; Penaeidae
Description: uncharacterized LOC119588744, transcript variant X2
Source: RNAcentral